Molecule: ribosomal RNA, 392 nt
Filed under: uncultured bacterium
Lineage: Bacteria
Description: bacterial SSU rRNA
Rfam family: Bacterial small subunit ribosomal RNA
Source: RNAcentral
AACGAACGCUGGCGGCAGGCUUCAUACAUGCAAGUCGAGCGGAAAGGCCCUUCGGGGUACUCGAGCGGCGAACGGGUGAGUAACACGUGGAUAAUCUGCCUUUCGGUGGGGGACGAACGGCUGGAGACGGCCGCUAAUACCGCAUAUCUUUGUUUCGCGCUGGCGAGAUAAAGAAAGGAGCAAUUGCUCCGCCGAGAGAUGAGUCCGCGCCCCAUUAGCUAGUUGGCGGGANAAUAGCCCACCAAGGCUACGAUGGGUAGCCGAGCUGAGAGGUUGAUCGGCCACACUGGAACUGAGACACGGUCCAGACACCUACGGGUGGCAGCAGUAGGGAAUAUUGCGCAAUGGGCGAAAGCCUGACGCAGCCAUGCCGCGUGGAUGAUGAAGGCCUU